UCUUGCCCUCGAGGCUCUCAUUCCCUCUCCCAGCUUUUGGUAGGGCCAGACUUCCGCUGGAAUGAUCCCCUAAAACAACAGCAGGACCUAGAGAGUCCUUCUUCAAAGACGGCACCUAGAGUGAUGCUCUCCGAGCAGUGAAAGACAGGACCCACGUCACAAGCGUACCCUCUCCAGCUCCCUCCACAGAGAAAAUUACUGAGACUCGCAUUUUAGACCCGAGGGAAUGGAGGCCGAGGGCAGCGAGGCGACAGCUCCAGCAACCAGGAUCUGACCCCUCCCCAUCUGCCCCUCCAGCCCCCAGGGAAGCCAGAACCAGGCACAAACCAGAUGGCCCAGCUUAUGCCCAGCAACUCAGGGUCACCAGAUCUUGUCUCAUCAAGACACUUUCAGCCCACCACCCAAACCUGUAGCCCACAUGAAGAGGGCAAUAAUCCUGGACACUGUGAAAAGUAAAAGCAUUACAUCCAAAGAGGCAUCCCCAGGAUGGAGCAGAAAUAAGAAAACAUAAUGAAGACACAAUUUUGCAAUCACUUCUGCCUAUAUUCCAUGGCCUACAAACCACUCAAAUAGCUCCACAUGUAAGAGAAGCCAGGAUGUGCUGUCCUCCAGAGCAUCCAGAAAGAGAUAAUGGGACUGAUAAGUCCUUGGCCAUUUUCUAGUAAAAUCUAUUAAUUUAGUCA
Molecule: long non-coding RNA, 683 nt
Filed under: Homo sapiens (human)
Lineage: Eukaryota; Metazoa; Chordata; Mammalia; Primates; Hominidae
Description: HSALNT0397501
Source: RNAcentral